Molecule: long non-coding RNA, 437 nt
Organism: Trematomus bernacchii (emerald rockcod)
Lineage: Eukaryota; Metazoa; Chordata; Actinopteri; Perciformes; Nototheniidae
Exons: 4
Source: RefSeq, a predicted model, not a curated record
GCUAAAUAGGACUGUCAGCCUGCAGUAAAAUGGAGAGAAAGAGACCAAUUUGGGCGGCUGAUUGUAAAGACUCGCAGUUCUUCAAAAGUGCUCGCCAAACGUCAGAAGAAAACUGGUCAGUCGCAGUUACCAAAUAUUUCUGCAGAACAUGUUGCAGACAGCACAGAAGGCACAUUCACCUCUGAGGUGCAACAGACCCACAAUAUGAUUGACCUUCAUAUACAGGAACUGCAAAAGAUGCUUGAUGCAGUUGAGGAGGAUGUUGCCGGAUGUUCAAAUUCCACAGAAGCCUCAUCUGGUCGAACAUGGACAGUACGUCAGGCUUUAUCUGAUGAAAGAUGGCGGAAAGCAAGACCUCAGCUUCUUGAAGCCAUGCUUGAGGCAGGAAAGAUCCCGAAGGGUCUUUGUCAACUGUGCAAAGCUAAAGAUGCAGUCAU